CUGAAACUGCAGCCAUACGUGCAAUGCUCCAUGGUCUCUCGCCCGUGCGCCAAGCUCGCCUUCAAGUUCUUUGGGCCUUACAAUGUGCUGCAGAAGAUUGGAUCAUUGGCGUACAAGCUGAAUUUGCUGCCGGACUACCACGUGCACCCGAUCUUCCAUGUCUCCCAGCUCAAGCCGUUCACGCCAGACUACUCGCCGGUGUUCGCCAACCUUCCCUGUGUCCAAGACCUGUCAGCCACGGCGACCGAGCCCGUCAAGAUACUGGAGAGGCGCAUGAUGAAGCAUGGAGAUGCACCCAUGGUGCAGCUCAAGAUCUAGUGGUUGCCUAUCACAGCGGACUCUACUACCUGGGAGGACUACGACGUUCUUCGCCGGUGAUUUCCGACGGCGGCCAUCUGGGAGGAGGAGGCCUCAUCUUAA
This 420-nucleotide ribosomal RNA is filed under the name Triticum aestivum (bread wheat). Its description in RNAcentral is "partial small subunit ribosomal RNA". The record is from RNAcentral. Lineage: Eukaryota; Viridiplantae; Streptophyta; Magnoliopsida; Poales; Poaceae.